UUCCCUCUGUCUUCCUCCAGGGGUUUUUGCCUGUAGAGUGCCCUGGCAAUGACUGAGGGUACAGGAAAAGGAAAAGUAGACUUCCUUCUUCAGGAUGACCAUUUCCAUUGGGACCUACAAGGUGACUGACAGU
Sorex araneus (European shrew) is the source of this 133-nucleotide small nucleolar RNA. Lineage: Eukaryota; Metazoa; Chordata; Mammalia; Eulipotyphla; Soricidae. The record is from Ensembl.